AUGGGGACAGAGAAGGUCACCACCUCUCUGGUCUUUGCCAUCAGCAUUGCUAAGAUCGGCUCUUUCCAGUUUGGCUACAACACCGGUGUCAUUAAUGCUCCUGAGUUGAUCAUAAGGGACUUUCUCAAUUACACUUUGGAAGAGAAGUUAAUAAACCCUCCCACAGAAUUGUUGCUCACUUCCCUCUGGUCCUUGUCUGUGGCUAUCUUCCCUGUUGGUGGUAUGAUUGGCUCCUUCUCCGUUGGACUCUUUGUCAAUCGCUUUGGCAGGCGCAAUUCAUGCUUAUUGUCAACAUACUGGCUAUCGCAGGUGGCUGCCUUAUGGGGUUCUGUAAAAUAGCUCAGUCAGUUGAAAUGCUGAUCUUGGGCCGCUUGGUUAUUGGUCUCUUCUGCAGACUCUGCACAGGUUUUGUGCCCAUGUACAUUGGAGAGGUAUCUCCUACUGCCCUACGGGGUGCCUUUGGCACUCUAAACCAGCUGGGCAUCGUCAUUGGGAUUCUGGUAGCCCAGAUCUUUGGUCUGGAAGUCAUCUUGGGAUCUGAAGAGCUGUGGCCUGUGCUAUUGGGGUUCACCAUCAUUCCAGCUGUCCUGCAAAGUGCAGCCCUUCCAUUUUGCCCUGAAAGCCCUAGAUUCUUGCUCAUUAACAGACAGGAAGAGGAAAAUGCCAAGCAAAUCCUCCAGCAGUUGUGGGGUACCCAGGAUGUGAGCCAGGACAUCCAGGAGAUGAAAGAUGAGAGUGCUCAGAUGGCCCAGGAAAAGCAAGUCACGGUGCUUGAGCUCUUCAGAGCACCGAACUACCACCAGCCCAUCAUGAUUUCUAUCAUGCUCCAGCUCUCUCAGCAGCUUUCUGGAAUCAACGCUGUAUUCUAUUACUCUACAGGAAUCUUCAAAGAUGCAGGUGUUGGAGAGCCAAUCUAUGCCACCAUUGGUGCUGGUGUGGUUAAUACUAUCUUCACUGUGGUUUCGCUAUUUCUGGUGGAAAAGGCAGGAAGGAGAACUCUACAUAUGCUUGGCCUUGGAGGCAUGUCUGCUUGUUCCCUCCUCAUGACUGUUUCUUUGUUACUAAAGAUUACAGAGAAAAGCACUUUUACCAGUGGAUAUUUCAGAAGUGUCUUAGGGCAAGCUUCUCAUUCCUACUCUAAGAGAGCACUCUUGGAUAAUGGUUCUCAUAACUGGAACAUCAAUGGCAAAAGUAAAUAA
RNA transcript from Chrysochloris asiatica (Cape golden mole), 1199 nucleotides. It is a transcript of the gene named solute carrier family 2, facilitated glucose transporter member 3-like, with no coding region annotated. The record is from RefSeq and is a predicted model, not a curated record. The transcript has 3 exons. NCBI's taxonomy places the organism in Eukaryota, Metazoa, Chordata, Mammalia, Afrosoricida, Chrysochloridae.